AGACGGGACCCGCACAAGUGGUGGAGCAUGUGGUUUAAUUCGAAGAUACACGAAGAACCUUACCUGGCCUUGACAUGGUAGGAACCCUUAAGAGAUUAGGGGUGCUAGCUUGCUAGAACCUACACACAGGUGCUGCACGGCUGUCGUCAGCUCGUGUCGUGAGAUGUUGGGUUAAGUCCCGCAACGAGCGCAACCCUCGUCCUUAGUUGCUAACAGUUCGGCUGAGCACUCUAGGGAGACUGCCUUCGCAAGGAGGAGGAAGGUGAGGACGACGUCAAGUCAUCAUGGCCCUUACGGCCAGGGCUACACACGUGCUACAAUGGUUGGUACAACGAGUUGCGAGUCGGUGACGGCGAGCUAAUCUCUUAAAGCCAAUCUCAGUUCGGAUUGUAGGCUGCAACUCGCCCACAUGAAGUCGGAAUCGCUAGUAAUCGCGGAUCAGCACGCCGCGGUGAAUACGUUCCCGGGCCUU
RNAcentral lists this ribosomal RNA (472 nucleotides) under uncultured Sulfuricurvum sp. RNAcentral's name for it is "bacterial SSU rRNA". It matches the Rfam family "Bacterial small subunit ribosomal RNA", at positions 916 to 1381 of the family's 1533-position model. Lineage: Bacteria; Pseudomonadati; Campylobacterota; Epsilonproteobacteria; Campylobacterales; Sulfurimonadaceae. The record is from RNAcentral.